UAGGGANUCUUCCGCAAUGGACGCAAGUCUGACGGAGCAACGCCGCGUGAGUGAAGAAGGUUUUCGGAUCGUAAAACUCUGUUGUUAGAGAAGAACAAGUGCUAGAGUAACUGUUAGCGCCUUGACGGUAUCUAACCAGAAAGCCACGGCUAACUACGUGCCAGCAGCCGCGGUAAUACGUAGGUGGCAAGCGUUGUCCGGAUUUAUUGGGCGUAAAGCGAGCGCAGGCGGUUCCUUAAGUCUGAUGUGAAAGCCCCCGGCUCAACCGGGGAGGGUCAUUGGAAACUGGGGAACUUGAGUGCAGAAGAGGAGAGUGGAAUUCCAUGUGUAGCGGUGAAAUGCGUAGAUAUAUGGAGGAACACCAGUGGCGAAGGCGACUCUCUGGUCUGUAACUGACGCUGAGGCUCGAAAGCGUGGGUAGCAAACAGGAUUAGAUACCCUGGUAGUCCUCGCCGUAAACGAUGAGUGCUAAGUGUUGGAGGGUUUCCGCCCUUCAGUGCUGCAGUUAACGCAUUAAGCACUCCGCCUGGGGAGUACGACCGCAAGGUUG
RNAcentral lists this ribosomal RNA (550 nucleotides) under uncultured bacterium. RNAcentral describes it as "bacterial SSU rRNA". It matches the Rfam family "Bacterial small subunit ribosomal RNA", at positions 355 to 896 of the family's 1533-position model. The record is from RNAcentral.